This 933-nucleotide ribosomal RNA is filed under the name Sphingobacterium anhuiense. RNAcentral describes it as "bacterial SSU rRNA". It matches the Rfam family "Bacterial small subunit ribosomal RNA", at positions 547 to 1495 of the family's 1533-position model. Lineage: Bacteria; Pseudomonadati; Bacteroidota; Sphingobacteriia; Sphingobacteriales; Sphingobacteriaceae. The record is from RNAcentral.
CGAUUUAUUGGGUUUAAGGGUGCGUAGGCGGUCCUAUAAGUCAGUGGUGAAAGACGGCAGCUUAACUGUCGCAGUGCCUUUGAUACUGUAGGACUUGAAUCUAUUUGAAGUGGGCGGAAUAAGACAAGUAGCGGUGAAAUGCAUAGAUAUGUCUUAGAACUCCGAUUGCGAAGGCAGCUCACUAAGUUAGUAUUGACGCUGAUGCACGAAAGCGUGGGGAUCAAACAGGAUUAGAUACCCUGGUAGUCCACGCCCUAAACGAUGAUAACUCGAUGUUUGCGAUACACAGUAAGCGUCCAAGCGAAAGCGUUAAGUUAUCCACCUGGGGAGUACGGUCGCAAGAUUGAAACUCAAAGGAAUUGACGGGGGCCCGCACAAGCGGAGGAGCAUGUGGUUUAAUUCGAUGAUACGCGAGGAACCUUACCCGGGCUUGAAAGUUAGUGAAUGAUCCAGAGACGGAUCAGUCCUUCGGGACACGAAACUAGGUGCUGCAUGGCUGUCGUCAGCUCGUGCCGUGAGGUGUUGGGUUAAGUCCCGCAACGAGCGCAACCCCUAUGUUUAGUUGCCAGCACAUUAAGGUGGGGACUCUAAACAGACUGCCAGCGUAAGCUGUGAGGAAGGUGGGGACGACGUCAAGUCAUCAUGGCCCUUACGUCCGGGGCUACACACGUGCUACAAUGGAUGGUACAGCGGGCAGCUACAUAGCAAUAUGGUGCUAAUCUCUAAAAGCCAUUCACAGUUCGGAUUGAGGUCUGCAACUCGACCUCAUGAAGUUGGAUUCGCUAGUAAUCGCGUAUCAGCAAUGACGCGGUGAAUACGUUCCCGGGCCUUGUACACACCGCCCGUCAAGCCAUGAAAGUUGGGGGUACCUAAAGCAUGUAACCGCAAGGAGCGUGUUAGGGUAAAACCGAUGGGGCUAAGUCAAGGCCCAAA